RNAcentral lists this ribosomal RNA (160 nucleotides) under uncultured bacterium. RNAcentral describes it as "partial 16S ribosomal RNA". It matches the Rfam family "Bacterial small subunit ribosomal RNA", at positions 355 to 507 of the family's 1533-position model. The record is from RNAcentral.
UGGGGAAUCUUGCGCAAUGGGCGAAAGCCUGACGCAGCGACGCCGCGUGGGGGAGGAAGCUCUUCGGAGUGUAAACCCCUGUCAGAGGGGAAGAAUGGCCACUCGAGGAAAUGCGGGUGGUUUGACGGUACCCUCAGAGGGAGCACCGGCUAACUCUGUG